Molecule: ribosomal RNA, 482 nt
Filed under: uncultured bacterium
Lineage: Bacteria
Description: bacterial SSU rRNA
Rfam family: Bacterial small subunit ribosomal RNA
Source: RNAcentral
AGUUGAUCAGUCGGCUCAGGACGAACGCUGGCGGCGUGCCUAACACAUGCAAGUCGAGCGAGUAAAUCUCCUUCGGGAGUGAAGCUAGCGGCGGACGGGUGAGUAACACGUGGGCAACCUGCCUCAUAGAGGGGAAUAGCCUUCCGAAAGGAAGAUUAAUACCGCAUAAGAUUGUAGCUUCGCAUGAAGUAGCAAUUAAAGGAGCAAUCCGCUAUGAGAUGGGCCCGCGGCGCAUUAGCUAGUUGGUGAGGUAACGGCUCACCAAGGCGACGAUGCGUAGCCGACCUGAGAGGGUGAUCGGCCACAUUGGGACUGAGACACGGCCCAGACUCCUACGGGAGGCAGCAGUGGGGAAUAUUGCACAAUGGGGAAACCCUGAUGCAGCAACGCCGCGUGAGUGAUGACGGCCUUCGGGUUGUAAAGCUCUGUCUUCAGGGACGAUAAUGACGGUACCUGAGGAGGAAGCCACGGCUAACUACGUG